UCAAAGGAAUUGACGGGGGCCCGCACAAGCGGUGGAGCAUGUGGUUUAAUUCGACGCAACGCGCAGAACCUUACCAGCCCUUGACAUCCCGGUCGCGGACUCCAGAGACGGAGUUCUUCAGUUCGGCUGGACCGGAGACAGGUGCUGCAUGGCUGUCGUCAGCUCGUGUCGUGAGAUGUUGGGUUAAGUCCCGCAACGAGCGCAACCCCCGUCCUUAGUUGCUACCAUUUAGUUGAGCACUCUAAGGAGACUGCCGGUGAUAAGCCGCGAGGAAGGUGGGGAUGACGUCAAGUCCUCAUGGCCCUUACGGGCUGGGCUACACACGUGCUACAAUGGCGGUGACAAUGGGAAGCGAAGGGGCAACCCCUAGCAAAUCUCAAAAAA
RNAcentral lists this ribosomal RNA (384 nucleotides) under uncultured Nitrobacter sp. Its description in RNAcentral is "bacterial SSU rRNA". It matches the Rfam family "Bacterial small subunit ribosomal RNA", at positions 901 to 1281 of the family's 1533-position model. The record is from RNAcentral. Lineage: Bacteria; Pseudomonadati; Pseudomonadota; Alphaproteobacteria; Hyphomicrobiales; Nitrobacteraceae.